RNAcentral lists this ribosomal RNA (460 nucleotides) under uncultured bacterium. RNAcentral's name for it is "partial 16S ribosomal RNA". It matches the Rfam family "Bacterial small subunit ribosomal RNA", at positions 338 to 795 of the family's 1533-position model. The record is from RNAcentral.
CCUACGGGAGGCAGCAGUGAGGAAUAUUGGUCAAUGGACGCGAGUCUGAACCAGCCAAGUAGCGUGAAGGAUGACUGCCCUAUGGGUUGUAAACUUCUUUUAUAUGGGAAUAAAGUGUUCCACGUGUGGUGUUUUGUAUGUACCUUAUGAAUAAGGAUCGGCUAACUCCGUGCCAGCAGCCGCGGUAAUACGGAGGAUCCGAGCGUUAUCCGGAGUUAUUGGGUGUAAAGGGAGCGUAGGUGGAUUGUUAAGUCAGUUGUGAAAGUUUGCGGCUCAACCGUAAAAUUGCAGUUGAAACUGGCAGGCUUGAGUACAGUAGAGGUAGGCGGAAUUCGUGGUGUAGCGGUGAAAUGCUUAGAUAUCACGAAGAACUCCGAUUGCGAAGGCAGCCUACUGGACUGCAACUGACACUGAGGCUCGAAAGUGUGGGUAUCAAACAGGAUUAGAUACCCGUGUAGUC